This 253-nucleotide ribosomal RNA is filed under the name uncultured bacterium. RNAcentral describes it as "partial 16S ribosomal RNA". It matches the Rfam family "Bacterial small subunit ribosomal RNA", at positions 524 to 776 of the family's 1533-position model. The record is from RNAcentral.
UACGUAGGGUGCGAGCGUUAAUCGGAAUUACUGGGCGUAAAGCGUGCGCAGGCGGUUCGUUAAGUCAGCUGUGAAAGCCCCGAGCUUAACUUGGGAAUUGCGGUUGAAACUGGCGGACUAGAAUCUGGCAGAGGGGGGUGGAAUUCCAGGUGUAGCGGUGAAAUGCGUAGAUAUCUGGAGGAACACCGGUGGCGAAGGCGGCAUCCUGGACCAAUUCUGACGCUGAGGAGCGAAAGCCAGGGGAGCAAACGGG